GAUUUCUGGUUAAUUGUCCUAGCCCGCUCGCUUCGGUGGGUGAGUGCUGGUACAACUAGCCAUCCUUCCAGAGAGCCGUGAGUACCCUUCACUGGGCCGCUCGCGUUUGCGAUCUGGAUCUUUUACUUUGAAAAAAUUAGAGUGUUUAAAGCAGGCUUAUGCUGUGAAUACAUUAGCAUGGAAUAAUAAUUUAGGACUUCGGUUCUAUUUUGUUGGUUUCUAGGACUGAAGUAAUGAUUGAUAGGGACAGUUGGGGGUGCUAGUAUUCCGCGGCCAGAGGUGAAAUUCUUGGAUUCGCGGAAGACUAACUACUGCGAAAGCAUU
Molecule: ribosomal RNA, 324 nt
Filed under: Trinematidae sp.
Lineage: Eukaryota; Cercozoa; Imbricatea; Euglyphida; Trinematidae
Description: SSU rRNA
Rfam family: Eukaryotic small subunit ribosomal RNA (bases 106-324)
Source: RNAcentral